GAUGAACGCUGGCGGCGUGCCUAAUACAUGCAAGUCGAGCGAACAGACGAGGAGCUUGCUCCUCUGACGUUAGCGGCGGACGGGUGAGUAACACGUGGAUAACCUACCUAUAAGACUGGGAUAACUUCGGGAAACCGGAGCUAAUACCGGAUAAUAUAUUGAACCGCAUGGUUCAAUAGUGAAAGACGGUUUUGCUGUCACUUAUAGAUGGAUCCGCGCCGCAUUAGCUAGUUGGUAAGGUAACGGCUUACCAAGGCGACGAUGCGUAGCCGACCUGAGAGGGGGAUCGGCCACACUGGAACUGAGACACGGUCCAGAAUCCUACGGGAGGCAGCAGUAGGGAAUCUUCCGCAAUGGGCGAAAGCCUGACGGAGCAACGCCGCGUGAGUGAUGAAGGUCUUCGGAUCGUAAAACGCUGUUAUUAGGGAAGAACAAAUGUGUAAGUAACUAUGCACGUCUUGACGGUACCUAAUCAGAAAGCCACGGCUAACUACGU
Molecule: ribosomal RNA, 496 nt
Filed under: uncultured bacterium
Lineage: Bacteria
Description: partial 16S ribosomal RNA
Rfam family: Bacterial small subunit ribosomal RNA
Source: RNAcentral